GCCGUGGUGGCUGUCGGCGGUCAUAACCUAAAACUAAACUAAACUUUCUUUGCUUUUCGGAUUUGCAACUAUCGUUCAAUUUGUUUUAUACAUUAAAGACGACCAUGAGGAUGAAAGGGUUCCAUAAAUCUGUGCCUGUUAAUUAUUACUGCCCAGCUUUCUGCUGCAGGCGGUUUUAAUUUUAAAAUUAUAUGGCUACAUUUGAUGAUAUAUCCUUACUCAUCUGAGUCGUCAAAUUGUUAAAAUUUGACAGAAUGGAAGAUGAUGAAAUAUAGCAGGUACUUACGAGGUAUUGUAACCUUAGAUGUUGUUCUCCUGGUGCAGCAGCCUUUGUUGUUUGUUGUGCCGAGCUUCUGAGGUUACAUGCCAUAUGAUUAUAAAUGUCUUGUUUCCUGAUUCCUUCUGUCAAUUUUCCAAUUAAGUUUUACACCACAAAAAUCAAUUUCAUUUUUGUCAUUCUUGAACAUGUUUCAUUUUGUUAAAUUGCUUGUCUAAUAUUAUGUGAUGCCCAAGGGAUAAUUUUAGAAUCCCGAACUCAUACCAGAUGGUAAAACCAUGUCCCAUACGCGACUGCUUGAGUUGUGUUAGACCAUAAAAAAAAAAGCGAGAUGAGAACUAGAGAAGCAUCAAUGGGGACAAACGCUCGAGAACAGACUUUGUGACGGUGAGGGAGAAGGGCGUCUUAACACGUUUUUAGGACAGCCCCGGGCAGGUGUGACUUGCACCUCUUUUUUAGGACAACCAAACCUCCCAGCAACCUUAUGCCAUAAAUUGGAUAGCAACCCAACAUUUUAGUCCAUCGUCAUCAGAUUGUAGCUCCAAUUUAAAGAAUCCAUCUCUUUCGAUUUUCCGCUUCUUGUUUAUUUGAUUUAUGGGAGGAAUGUGACCUUCCUAUGAAUAAAAGGAAUCUUGAGGAAAACAUUCCAAUAUCAUUUCCAUCGUGUUAUAAUUAUAUGAAACAAAAGAGAGAAUGGUGUCAGUUGUCUCUUCUUGUUCCAGUUUUCUUUACUUCAUUAGAUUUCGAUAUAUGUUGAAAAGCGCCAACACUUCUCAGACACCUCACUGAUCAUGCCAAUGCGAGAUGAAAUUGGCGGUCCUUGUGGAUUAAGAACACAAAUCCUGAUUUGUGAUUUCUAA
Molecule: long non-coding RNA, 1137 nt
Filed under: Helianthus annuus (common sunflower)
Lineage: Eukaryota; Viridiplantae; Streptophyta; Magnoliopsida; Asterales; Asteraceae
Description: hypothetical non coding rna
Source: RNAcentral